This 233-nucleotide unclassified non-coding RNA is filed under the name plant metagenome. Its description in RNAcentral is "partial contains small subunit ribosomal RNA, internal transcribed spacer 1, and 5.8S ribosomal RNA". The record is from RNAcentral.
UUUCCGCAGGUGAACCUGCGGAAGGAUCAUUAUUGGAUUUUGAAACUCCAGGCUGCUGCUGGCUCUCCUCGGAGGGCAUGUGCACGCUUGUUGUCCAUUAUUUCUCCCACUGUGCACAAAUUGUAGACCUUUCAGUAGGCCUAUGUUGUUUUUCACAAUCUCUGAAUGUAAUAGAAUGGUUUUGAAUCUUGGGAAAUACAAUACAACUUUCAGCAACGGAUCUCUUGGCUCUC